RNAcentral lists this long non-coding RNA (1076 nucleotides) under Anas zonorhyncha (Eastern spot-billed duck). RNAcentral describes it as "lncRNA (ENSAZOG00000016192.1)". The record is from RNAcentral. Lineage: Eukaryota; Metazoa; Chordata; Aves; Anseriformes; Anatidae.
UGGGGUCUCCACGGGGUGUCUCUGCCCCCCAGAGGAGGCCGCGCAGGUCCUGGAGCGCCUGAACCGGGCGCAGCCGCCCCCCAACAUCGACAUCAGCCCCCCCCGGCGGUGAGACAGCGCCCGCCCCACGGCCUGCCCCACAGCCUGCCCCACAGCGCCCCACAGCGCCCCAUAACCGCCCCAUAACCGCCCCACAACCCCCCGCCCCCCGCCGCUGCCCGACGCCCGUCCCCNNNNNNNNNNNNNNNNNNNUGGCCCCGGACCCCUUCUUUGGGGUCAUGGCCCCCCCACUGCCCAGCCCCACCGAGCUGAUGGAGCUCCCCCGCCUGGAGGAGGAGCUGCCCCCGAUGGAGCUGCCCGAGCUGACGGUGUCCCCCGAGAUCAUCACCCUGCGCGAGCCCGAGCCCCCCAUGGUGCCGGCCUUGGAGGAGGAGCUGCCCGAGGUGACGCCGCGGGAGCUGGAGCUGCUGAGCGAGGCCGAGGUCGAGCUCCUGCCCACCGUGGAGGAGGUCGCGGAGGUCCCGAGGGAGCUGCCACCACCCCGCGUUCCGCCUGUGCGCGAGGAGCCCGGCGUGCUGCCCCCCGAGGCCCCCCGGCGCCGCAAAGUCCCGCGGCUGCCCCACAGCGACCCCCAGCCCCAGAUCCCCCAGGCCGAGUUCCGGGCGCUGCUGCUGCAGCCCGAGGCGCACUGCCAGCCCCUGGUGAUCCCGGAGCCCCCCUCCCUGCGCCGCCUUCCCCCGGCCGAGCUCUUCCAGACCCCGACCAUCGGUGAGCGCCCCCCCCNNNNNNNNNNGGGGCCGUGCCCCACAGCUCCUGCCCCACAGGUGCCCCGCGAGGCACUGGAGCCCAGCCUGCCGGUGGUGCUGUCCUCGGGUGAGACCCCCUGUGGGGCGCUAUGGGGCAAUAUGGGGUGGCUGUGGGGUGAUGUGGGGCAGCUAUGGGGUGAUAUGGGGUGGCUAUGGGGCAAUAUGGGGUGGUGUGGGGUGCUAUGGGGGCAUAUGGGAUGGCUAUGGGGCACUAUGGGGCAGCUAUGGGUUGAUGUGGGGUGCUAUGGGGCUGGCUAUGGGGCACUAUAG